This is a long non-coding RNA of Passer domesticus (house sparrow), 3854 nucleotides long. RefSeq lists it as uncharacterized. NCBI's taxonomy places the organism in Eukaryota, Metazoa, Chordata, Aves, Passeriformes, Passeridae. The transcript has 3 exons. The record is from RefSeq and is a predicted model, not a curated record.
AGGGCCUGCAGGAGGUUCCCCAGCCCUUGCCGGAGCCCUGCUGCCCUUGGCUCCAGCACCUCCACGUCCUUGUAAAAGUAAGAGGUCCACAACUGAACACAGCACUUGAGGUGUGGCCUCACAAUAAGUAAUACAAAUUACACUUCUUUUUUACAAAGUUGCCGUCAUAUUGCAUGUGUUGACUGAAUUGCAAUAUAGUGAGAAACCCAAAUGCUGAUACACAUUUAAAUUUUCAAGCUGCUACCAUUUUACGUCACAAUAUAUGGGUGUUUUACACACUUAUCCCUGCAGAAAUUAUUCUGCCGUCUUGUUAUUUUGUUCAUUAUAUUUUAUUUAUUAAUUAAUUAUUAAUAAAUGUUUCUUCAUUUAUUUCAGAAGCCAUUGCAUGUCUUGAGGCAAACCUCCCUCUUUGGUGUUCUUUGGUGUUUACUUAUUAGUGAAUGUUUACUUAUUAAAUAUCAAUUAUAUCUAUUUAUUUACUUAUAUGCUAAUAUAAAUAGAAUAUAUAUUAUUUAUAAUAUAAUACAAAUAUUAUAAAUUAUAUUUAUUAAAUAUCAGCUGUUGGGGAGGGAAAUAAAGACAUAAAACAAUUGCUCUGGGUUUUGCUGGGAAAAAACUUUUCCAGUGGUUGUGCUUCCUUCUGAAGACAAUUAUUUUUGUUCCAUUCUGGCAAUAUUUUUGUCCUCCUUUGGCACAAGGAGCUCUAGAGGGUAGCAUUUGAAAAUACAACAGUAAAGAUGGUGAUGGUUGUUGAUUUGGCUGUGGUUUCAGUGCAGUGCCAGGUGCUACUGUAUACCCUGUGGAGGUGGCAGGAAAAGCUUUCUGGGGAGAAUCUUACAGAUUUCAUGUUCAAGUACAAGAGAGAAGUACAAGAAGUUCAAGUACAAGGCUGAGAACCAAAGGUCUGGAGCACAGGCUAGAUGUGGAGGCUACAGUUUGUGUACUUUAUCAGAAAGUGAUGUUUAGUCCUAUUUUAUUCCUGAUAUUCCAAGCACGAGUGUAUUUUCCUUUCUUUCUAAAGGAACUUAAAGUGAAUAUAGCCAGUAGCUUUACUCCUGACAGCACAGCACCUAAGAGCACUCUAGGGAUGCUGCACCUCACAGGAAUACCAAGUUCUUACACACUCAUUUGCAAUGAGAGGCUCAGCAAGGCAGAAGAAUGAAUGAGUUUUAGAAACAGCACAUCCAGCUGACUUCAUGUUUUGUCAUUGUGAUAUUUUACAGCCAAAGAUCCCAGGAAUAAUGGUCACGUGCAGCAGCAUCCCAGGUUUAAUGUGAACUCCUCAUACCGGGUUAUGAUGAGCCAGUUGGUUUCAUGGGAGAAAAUGGCAACACAAGGAGAUCCAAAUUUUAUGGCAAAGUGUUUUGACUAUGUUGGCAAGGAGCCCACAAGCAUUAACAACUGCAGGAGCUUUCAGAACUUCUCAGUGCCUUGGGUUUGGCAAGCUCAUUACCCACAAACUCGAUUAUUUACUUUCAUCCAUCUCAAGAGAACAAGAAAUGUAGUAAUAAAGAGUCUAAAAGACUGGAAUUACAAAGUGGAGGUCGUCAUUUAGUUACAGACCCAGCAUUAACCCAGUUACUUUGUAGACCUCAGACUUACAUAGAAAUCAUUUAUCUCUCAUCAGAGACAUGAUCAGCUCUGUUGAUUUUCUGUAGCCCAGCUGUAAUGCAGUCCAGUUUACAGUGAUUUCAGUGUGUGCAGCUAAUUAUUUUAGUUAAAAUGCUGGGGAAUCAAAUCUAAUUUUUUUCCCACAAAGCAGUGCCUGAUUAAAACAAACCCCAAACAUUAUAUAAGGUCUGUAAGAACAACCUGGGAGGUAAUUAUUUAAGGAAAAUCAUUUUAAGAACAGGUUGAAUCCUCUAAAAAACAUCUCUUUAGCUGCUGUAUUUCUGUGAAGCGAUUCAAGCACCAUCCAAAGAGGAGCAGUCAGACCAACCUGGCCCUUUCUGCAGUCUUGGUUUAGGGGCAAGAUGUAGCUGAAGCUAAGCAGGGUGAGCCCUCUGCAGCUGCCAAGAACAAACAGCCCAACCAAAACCCAGCUACUCGCUCAAACAUCCCUCUCAUUCUCUCUCUUUGGACCCUGCUUUACACCUCAUGAACAAAGACAACCUGUGUACAGGAUAAGAUUCCAAAACAAGCUCUGCCAACUUGGCUUUAAGGACAGCCACAAAAAAUUGAUUGCAAGGAGAGAAAUGAAAAUAAUAAGAAAAUUGAUAAUGGGUGUAAAGUGUUCUGGGAAAAGAGAACAUUGAAUGGCUCAGCCAUUCUGCAGGUACUCCCAUUUAUAUCUUAUCAGAAGGAAAAACAAGACCCCAAACAAACCAAUAAAAUGUCUUGUAAUUGUACUAAAGGCCAUUCAAAAGUAGUUAAAAAUGCUAAUGAGUAAAGUUGACUGUGUGUCCCAUGUGGACAUCCAGGUCGUGUGCCAAGGGAAUUUGUCAGAAAGCUUUGAGCUCCACUCUAAAACACUGCAGGCAAACAAAUAUCUCCUCUGAUUUCACUGUACAACAGCAGCUUGGUUUUAAACUCUGGAAUAAUCCUAAGCCAAUAGGUAUUGGAUGCUUAGUUGCCUUUGCUUGAUUUUGUACAAGACUGUUGAUCUUAUUUCCUUUCAUUCUCAAAGGAGCUACAAAAUGUCCAGAUGUUGAAUCUAAAGUGAAGCAAAACAAGUCCCCAUAAAUCCCCUUCAAAAGAACAAAUGUUGCCAAUGGUGACUGAAACCCUAAUUACUACUACUGAUUAUUUUAGCAUAAAGAUGUGUAUAAGGUACAGUGUUCCCAGUCCUGAAGCAGCUCUUUCAUCUUCCACAAUUACAAAAUACAGAGGUUCCUCACUCACUCAAAUUCAUUUUAAUUGAGCUGGAAGCACAGGAGUACAACAGCACAUUUGGCUGAAUGAGGCAUCACAUGUGAACUGUGCUGUGUGUCCAUAAGGACACUGGUUUAGUGUUCUGUCACCUCAACAGCUGCAUCUUCUAUGUGCCACACGCUGCUCUCUGUGAUUCUGGGGUAAAUGCUGUUAAAGCACGAACAGAUGAUUUUCCCAGCCCAAGCCCAAGGUAGCAAAGGUUACAAGCAGGAGUUUAUAGCUACAGGCUUAUACUGCACAAGAUGACAACGUUGGUGUAUGGCCCAGGACAGUCUGUUGUCUGGAAACCCAGCUGGUGCCACAAGGCAUGUUGAAGAAGGUGAAUGCUGGCCAACAUUCUGCAUGUGAGAGCAAGGACCCCAAGGACUAAAAUCAACAAAUGGCAAGUGGGGGAGUUUUACUGCAGGAGAGGAGAGAAUUAGGGAGAAUUCACCAGCAGAGUCAGGCAGGAGAUUAGUUUUCAUUUGGUUUAGCUUCAAGUCAAAUGUGCUUCUAAAUCAUCACAGAGAGGGAUGAAUGCAGUUGUGAUUGUGGGUUUGGGAGACAGAGGAAGAGGGAGAAGAUUGGCAGUAAGAUUGCCCUUGCUGUCUUUGCUUUCCAAAAGCAGAGAUGAAUACUGAGCUGUGCAGGCUCAGCCGAUGUAGAGCAGCCUGGAGAAGACAAGCCUCAAACACAGGAUGGGACAAAGGCCACAGAAAGCUGCUUCAGCCUGUCACCUCUGAACUGGACGCUCCUGCUUAAAAUAUCCCAAACAAUUCUGCAGUCUCUCCCCUUCCUCCACUUACCGAGCUCCAGACUCGACCAUACUACAGCUGUAAUAAAACAAAUUAACAAACCAACAACAAGUUUGAAUCACUUUCUUGCAUCCAUUUUUGUUUCUCUCAAAUUGCCAGUUACUUUUGCAUUUUGAACACCCCAUCCCCUGCCCCCCUCCCAUAAAAUGCAGCCUUUAGUUAUAGGGUAAUUUCAUCCUAUAGCUUCUU